CCUACGGGAGGCAGAAGUGAGGAAUAUUGGUCAAUGGACGAGAGUCUGAACCAGCCAAGUAGCGUGAAGGAUGACUGCCCUAUGGGUUGUAAACUUCUUUUAUAUGGGAAUAAAACGUUCCACGUGUGGGAUUUUGUAUGUACCAUAUGAAUAAGGAUCGGCUAACUCCGUGCCAGCAGCCGCGGUAAUACGGAGGAUCCGAGCGUUAUCCGGAUUUAUUGGGUUUAAAGGGAGCGUAGGUGGAUUGUUAAGUCAGUUGUGAAAGUUUGCGGCUCAACCGUAAAAUUGCAGUUGAAACUGGCAGUCUUGAGUACAGUAGAGGUGGGCGGAAUUCGUGGUGUAGCGGUGAAAUGCUUAGAUAUCACGAAGAACUCCGAUUGCGAAGGCAGUUCACUGGACUGCAACUGACACUGAGGCUCGAAAGUGUGGGUAUCAAACAGGAUUAGAUACCCUAGUAGUC
RNAcentral lists this ribosomal RNA (460 nucleotides) under uncultured bacterium. Its description in RNAcentral is "partial 16S ribosomal RNA". It matches the Rfam family "Bacterial small subunit ribosomal RNA", at positions 338 to 795 of the family's 1533-position model. The record is from RNAcentral.